GAUAGCCCUUCGAAAGGAGGAUUAAUACUUUAUAAUAGAAAUCAUGGCAUCAUGAAUUUUUGAAAGAUUUAUCGCAGUAGGAUAGGCAUGCGUAAGAUUAGUUAGUUGGUGAGGUAACGGCUCACCAAGACGAUGAUCUUUAGGGGGUCUGAGAGGGUGAACCCCCACACUGGUACUGAGACACGGACCAGACUCCUACGGGAGGCAGCAGUGAGGAAUAUUGGACAAUGGGUGGAAGCCUGAUCCAGCCAUCCCGCGUGUAGGAUGACGGCCUUAUGGGUUGUAAACUACUUUUAUCUGGGGAUAAACCUACUUACGUGUAAGUAGCUGAAGGUACCAGAAGAAUAAGCACCGGCUAACUCCGUGCCAGCAGCC
Molecule: ribosomal RNA, 375 nt
Filed under: Gilvimarinus gilvus
Lineage: Bacteria; Pseudomonadati; Pseudomonadota; Gammaproteobacteria; Cellvibrionales; Cellvibrionaceae
Description: bacterial SSU rRNA
Rfam family: Bacterial small subunit ribosomal RNA
Source: RNAcentral